This 1346-nucleotide unclassified non-coding RNA is filed under the name Hevea brasiliensis (rubber tree). The record is from RNAcentral. Lineage: Eukaryota; Viridiplantae; Streptophyta; Magnoliopsida; Malpighiales; Euphorbiaceae.
GCAUGUCUGACAACUUUACAUCUCUAAUGCCUUUCUUCAUGGCUACCUUCUUCAUGAAAUAUACGUAGACAACCAAUGGUUUUCAUUGAUUUUGCACAUCCAGAAUAUGUAUGCAAAUUGAAUAAAUCUCUUUAUGGCCUCAAACAAACACUAUAAGCUUGGUUUCAUUGCUAACAUACUUUUUGGGCAGUCUCUGCUUCCAACCUUCCGAAGCUGACACAUCUCUCUUUAUGGAAAAGGAAGGUAACCUUCAACUCUUUAUUUUAGUACAUAUUUCUGAUAUUUUGUUUACGAGUUCAGAUGGCGCAAUGUUCGUGAUCUUGACUCUUCAUUAUUUUUUGAGAAUUAAGGCAAAAUAAUGAUCAAUAGGCUUGCUACUUUCCCAAUAGAAAUAUAUCAAUGAUCUAUUAACUCAAACACAAAUGGAGAAUUGUAAACCGUGUUUUAUGCCCAUGGAUAUCAGUCCAACAUUAACAAAAUCCACUGGUGAUUUAUUUGAUAAUGGUAAGCUAUACCAUCAAGUGGUAGGAGCCCUUCAAUAUGUAACUCUCACAAGGCCAGACAUUACAUUCUCUGUCAACAACUUAUGUCAAUUUAUGUAUUAGCCAACCAAUGAGCAUUGGAGUUAAACACCUCCUCUAUUAUCUUAGUCUCACUAGUCAUCUCGGCCUAUUAAUUACAAAGGACUCCACUACAACUACAACCAUUCAAUGCUACUCAGAUAGUGAAUGGGGAGGUUGCCCUGAUGAUCGUAGGUCUACAAAUGGUUAUGCCAUAUUUCUUGGCAAGAACUUGAUUUCGUGGGCUACCAAAAAGUAACUAACAAUUGUAAAGUCUUCAACAGAAGGUGAAUACAAAUCUCUCUCUAAUGCUACAACUGAAAUUUUGGAUUCAGUCAUUAUUACAAUAACUUGAUUUUCUAUCUAGUGAUCUAGCUACUCUAUGGUAUGACAAUAUUGGCGAGCUAAUCCUGUGUUUCAUACCAGGACCAAGCACAUAGAGCUUUAUUAUCAUUUUGUCAAGAAGCAAUUUAGUAAAGGCCCUAUUUAGGUUUGCUUUCUUUCUUCGGGUGAUUAGAUUGCAGAUAUCUUGAUCAAGCCAUUAUGCCAUUGUCUGUUUAAUAAAAUCGUGACAGGCUAAGGCUAUUGUCGCAUCCACCUUUAGCUUGAGGGGGGUUAUUAGGAUACCUCCAAGAUAUCCACCUUCAACUAGUGUAACAAUAGUAGUUUAGUGUUUGUAUUUAUCUCAAAUGCUUCCAUCUCCGUGUACCGAUGUAUAUUGCUAUAUAAGCACAUUGUACAUAUUAACAUGGCAAGUGAAAAUCACAAAAUUUCUUUAACGUGUUA